UCCCUGGUAGUAUAUCGGCUAGUACACCCGCUUGUCAUUGCAGAUAUCUGUACGCGGGAAAGCGGGGUUCGACUCCCCGCUAAGGAG
This 87-nucleotide transfer RNA is filed under the name Peniophora sp. CONT. Its description in RNAcentral is "tRNA-Asp". It matches the Rfam family "tRNA". From Rfam's summary of the family: Transfer RNA (tRNA) molecules are approximately 80 nucleotides in length. Their secondary structure includes four short double-helical elements and three loops (D, anti-codon, and T loops). Lineage: Eukaryota; Fungi; Basidiomycota; Agaricomycetes; Russulales; Peniophoraceae. The record is from RNAcentral.